RNAcentral lists this transfer RNA (76 nucleotides) under Escherichia coli. RNAcentral describes it as "tRNA-Asn". It matches the Rfam family "tRNA". Rfam says of the family: Transfer RNA (tRNA) molecules are approximately 80 nucleotides in length. Their secondary structure includes four short double-helical elements and three loops (D, anti-codon, and T loops). The record is from RNAcentral. RNAcentral also lists the same sequence under 5 other names. Lineage: Bacteria; Pseudomonadati; Pseudomonadota; Gammaproteobacteria; Enterobacterales; Enterobacteriaceae.
UCCUCUGCAGUUCAGUCGGUAGAACGGCGGACUGUUAAUCCGUAUGUCACUGGUUCGAGUCCAGUCAGAGGAGCCA